UACGUAGGGAGCAAGCGUUGUCCGGAAUCAUUGGGCGUAAAGCGCGCGUAGGUGGCUCCAUAAGUCCGCUGUGAAAGUCAAAGGCUCAACCUUUGAAAGCCGGUGGAUACUGUGGAGCUAGAGUACGGAAGAGGCGAGUGGAAUUCCUGGUGUAGCGGUGGAAUGCGCAGAUAUCAGGAGGAACACCAAUAGCGAAGGCAGCUCGCUGGGACGUUACUGACACUGAGGCGCGAAAGCGUGGGGAGCGAACAGG
RNAcentral lists this ribosomal RNA (253 nucleotides) under uncultured bacterium. RNAcentral's name for it is "partial 16S ribosomal RNA". It matches the Rfam family "Bacterial small subunit ribosomal RNA", at positions 524 to 776 of the family's 1533-position model. The record is from RNAcentral.